GAUGAACGCUGGCGGCGUGCCUAAUACAUGCAAGUCGAGCGAAUGGAUUAAGAGCUUGCUCGUAUGAAGUUAGCGGCGGACGGGUGAGUAACACGUGGGUAACCUGCCCAUAAGACUGGGAUAACUCCGGGAAACCGGGGCUAAUACCGGAUAACAUUUUGAACCGCAUGGUUCGAAAUUGAAAGGCGGCUUCGGCUGUCGCUUAUGGAUGGACCCGCGUCGCAUUAGCUAGUUGGUGAGGUAACGGCUCACCAAGGCAACGAUGCGUAGCCGACCUGAGAGGGAGAUCGGCCACACUGGGACUGAGACACGGCCCAGACUCCUACGGGAGGCAGCAGUAGGGAAUCUUCCGCAAUGGGCGAAAGUCUGACGGAGCAACGCCGCGUGAGUGAUGAAGGCUUUCGGGUCGUAAAACUCUGUUGUUAGGGAAGAACAGGUGCUAGUUGAAUAAGCUGGCACCUUGACGGUACCUAACCAGAAAGCCACGGCUAACUACGUGCCAGCAGCCGCCGUAA
This 515-nucleotide ribosomal RNA is filed under the name uncultured bacterium. RNAcentral's name for it is "partial 16S ribosomal RNA". It matches the Rfam family "Bacterial small subunit ribosomal RNA", at positions 28 to 523 of the family's 1533-position model. The record is from RNAcentral.